Ziziphus jujuba (common jujube) is the source of this 2138-nucleotide long non-coding RNA. RefSeq lists it as uncharacterized. The record is from RefSeq and is a predicted model, not a curated record. The transcript has 2 exons. Lineage: Eukaryota; Viridiplantae; Streptophyta; Magnoliopsida; Rosales; Rhamnaceae.
UUAGUUUCUGGUUGAACGAUUGUAUGUAAUUAGAUAUGUCCAUUGCUUAAUUAGAUUUCCCCAUUGGAAUUAAAAUAAAAUAAAAAAAUUUAAACAGCUGGUCUGCAACAUGAUUUCUCAAUAGUUGGUUUUAAUUAGUCCUUGUCGGUGGUUUGUCAUUUAGUUUAUUACAUGACUGCCUCAUAAAGAUUCAUACAGCCCAAUGCUCGACUGGCUCAAAAUGAUUCAUACGUCCCAAUGCCCAGAGGAUAAGAUGACAGCUCUGUGGAUAACUAAGAGUCUUCUAGAGGAUGCCAGAUGCUUCCCUUGCCAAUACUGAUUGUUGGGCACGUAGCAUAUUUCCUCUACCCACUGCGCUUUAGAGAACUAUCAAAUUCAUUAGCUUAGCCCUUGGGCUUUCUUUUCCUGUGUUGACAGGUGGGAAUUUGGUCCAUUACUAAUCCAAAUAGAAUGUAAACCGUAAAUACCCACCUAUCUCUUUUAUUUUUUGUUCUAUCCAUCUUUAUCUAUUAUAUCCCUCAAUUAAAAUAAAUUAAGAAAUGAAACAAUUUUCUGAGAAAGCUUAUCUUUCCUCAUUCGUGUCCUUUAGAAUCCACUGUGUUUUUCCCAAACUCCAUCGUAAACCACUAAAGCAGCAACAACAAAAUCCAACCAAAAUCCCAGCUGAAAUCCCACCCCACUAUACUAGCGAUGAAGAAGAAUAAGGGAUUGAAGGGAUUGAAUGUUUCAAAGCCUAAGUAAUCCGUAUCCAAAAGAAAAAUGAUAAGGCUUAGAAGCUUAAACAAAUUGCAAAAUAGACGACAACAUCUGGCUCAAAACGCGAAUGAACUUUUGAAUGCCAUAGCAAUGACCAACUCGCGAUCGCAUUCUCCCCACCUAAAUCGGUAAUUCGUUUCAAACCAAGUCAUUUUUUCCUCUGUUUUGUUAAAAUUGGUUUUAUUGUAUGGUAUAUAAUUAAUUUGUGACACAUUUAAGAAUGAAUUGGGUCCAUUUGAAUGUCAAAUCAGAGAAGUUUUCCAUAAGAUCAUGAGUUGUUGUCAAUUGGAGGGUUUUAACAUACUGAGUAAGCCAAAGGACAUCGAGUAACCGAGUUUUAUAGAGUUUCUAGUGAGCAUCAAAGUGUAUUAUUUUUUAAUAUAUGUUGUUGUAUUUUGCCAGCUUUGUAGUUUCCCAGCCUUCUUCAAGUAAAAAGCUUUAUAUGGUCAACAAACAUAUAUAUAUAUAUAUAUAUGCAUAUGCAUAUAACUAAGCAGGUUUUUUGGCAAUUCAUGUUAUUGAAGAGUGAUAAAGAUAGAGAUGGGCCCUUAUGUGGAUGAUAUAAUAAGUUAAGCAAUGGCAAUAGUGCGUGUAAUCGUUAUUCUGUAAUUUCGGCCUCAUCUUUAGAUAGCAUCAAAAUUUAUGCUUGGGAUUUAUUGUUUAAAAUUGGUUUCCUUUUAAUGCCAUAGCAUUAAAGAGCAUAUUGAAUGUUGUAUUUUUUUUGUUAGAAUGCAAAAUAUGUGACUUUGUUGAGGUGUGUUUUUUAUUAGAAUGAAAAACAUGUGGCUUUAAUACAACGGAAAUUGUUGGGUUGAACUUUUCAGAAACAUUGUUAGAACAAUAUUAGCAGUCAAAUUAGGCUUUAUUAACCCUUUUAGGCUUUAUAAGGUACUCCCAAUCUAACAUGGACCAAAAGUAGGCUUUAUUGACCCUUUUAUAUCUGGUUUUGUAAAGUCCAUAAUAUAUAAAAUCGUAUAUUUAAGUUUGAAAUUUGUUGGUAGUGAAACUGGUAUUACAAGAUAACAGGGUGUGAUGUUAUCAUUGUUGGAAUUAAGUCAUUGUAAAUGUAAUGAUUUUGGUGGCCUCUUUUCCCCCUUUCUUUUUUUUCUUUUUUUUUUUUAUAGCUUAAAUUUGAAGUAAGAUCUAGAAAUUUAAAAUGUUAAAACUAAAAACAAUUGUGUGAAGUUGAUAUUUCUGCUUAGAAUGUUGAGGUUUUUUGUGAGCAUGCCACUUAUAGGAUAUCAAUGCUUGACACAAUUUAUUGUGAUAAGAUAUCCUCAAUUUUUUAUUUUUUAUUCUUCUUUUUUUUGGCUAAUUUUAAUUUAUAUGUAAGCAGAUUUUCUUAGUACUCUUAUAUAUAUGUAUAUAUGUAUAUAUAUAUA